RNAcentral lists this ribosomal RNA (475 nucleotides) under uncultured bacterium. RNAcentral's name for it is "bacterial SSU rRNA". It matches the Rfam family "Bacterial small subunit ribosomal RNA", at positions 26 to 518 of the family's 1533-position model. The record is from RNAcentral.
AGGACGAACGCUGGCGGCGUGCCUAACACAUGCAAGUCGAACGGACAGGGGAGCUUGCUCCCCAAGUUAGUGGCGGACGGGUGAGUAACACGUGAGCAACCUGCCCUUCGAGGGGGACAACAGCUGGAAACGGCUGCUAAUACCGCAUGAUGUAUCCUGGAGGCAUCUCCGGGAUACCAAAGAUUUAUCGCCGAAGGAUGGGCUCGCGUCUGAUUAGAUAGUUGGUGGGGUAACGGCCUACCAAGUCGACGAUCAGUAGCCGGACUGAGAGGUUGAACGGCCACAUUGGGACUGAGAUACGGCCCAGACUCCUACGGGAGGCAGCAGUGGGGAAUAUUGGGCAAAAUGGGGGCAACCCUGACCCAGCAACGCCGCGUGAAGGAAGAAGGCUUUCGGGUUGUAAACUUCUUUGACGAGGGACGAUAGUGACGGUACCUCGAAAACAAGCCACGGCUAACUACGUGCCAGCCGCCGC